Molecule: transfer RNA, 62 nt
Filed under: Staphylinoidea sp. 15 KM-2017
Lineage: Eukaryota; Metazoa; Arthropoda; Insecta; Coleoptera
Description: tRNA-Leu
Source: RNAcentral
GUUAUUUUGGCAGAUUAGUGCGUUAAAUUUAGAAUUUAAUUAUGUAGAUAUUACAAAUAAUA